RNAcentral lists this long non-coding RNA (257 nucleotides) under Carica papaya (papaya). RNAcentral's name for it is "long non-coding RNA (CPAP_LNC013985)". The record is from RNAcentral. Lineage: Eukaryota; Viridiplantae; Streptophyta; Magnoliopsida; Brassicales; Caricaceae.
GUACAUUGGAUCAGUCCUGUGAGGCUUCAGUUCGUUUUGACGAUAACACUUAAGAAUUAAGAUUCUAUACAUGAAAAAUGUAUAUACCAAGCCAAAUAUAGUGUAAUUGACCUUUUCGAUUUAAUAAGUAACUCGGCCAGAGGGUGUAUCGGGUUCUUUUUUUUUUUUGUUUUUUUGUUUUUGACCUUUUCAAUAGGUUAUUGACCUUUUCAACUUCAAAGACAUAAUUGAAUCAAAUGGCAAAUAUCAAUUCCAUU